CUUAACACAUGCAAGUCGAGGGGCAGCGCGGGGCGGCAACGUCCUGGCGGCGACCGGCGGAAGGGUGCGUAACGCGUGAGCGACAUGCCCGUUGCCCGGGGACAACCGGUGGAAACGCCGACUAAUCCCCGAUGGGACGGAGGCCCUCAUGGGUCUCUGUUGAAAGUUACGGCGGCGACGGAUUGGCUCGCGUCCGAUUAGCUUGUUGGCGGGGUAACGGCCCACCAAGGCUACGAUCGGUAGGGGUUCUGAGAGGAAGGUCCCCCACAAUGGAACUGAGACACGGUCCAUACUCC
This 296-nucleotide ribosomal RNA is filed under the name uncultured bacterium. RNAcentral describes it as "partial 16S ribosomal RNA". It matches the Rfam family "Bacterial small subunit ribosomal RNA", at positions 47 to 339 of the family's 1533-position model. The record is from RNAcentral.